UACGGCGAGUGAGCGGCUAAAGCUCAAAUUUGAAAUCUAGCACCUUCGGUGUUUGAGUUGUAAUUUGAAGAUGGUAACCUUGGGUUUGGCUCUUGUCUAUGUUCCUUGGAACAGGACGUCAUAGAGGGUGAGAAUCCCGUCUGAUGAGAUGCCCAUUCCUAUGUAAGGUGCUAUCGAAGAGUCGAGUUGUUUGGGAAUGCAGCUCUAAGUGGGUGGUAAAUUCCAUCUAAAGCUAAAUAUUGGCGAGAGACCGAUAGCGAACAAGUACAGUGAUGGAAAGAUGAAAAGAACUUUGAAAAGAGAGUGAAAAAGUACGUGAAAUUGUUGAAAGGGAAGGGCAUUAGAUCAGACUUGGUGUUUUACGAUUAUCUUCUCUUCUUGAGUUGUGCACUCGUAUUUCACUGGGCCAGCAUCGAUUCGGAUGGCAAGAUAAUGGCAGUUGAAUGUGGCUUCACUUCGGUGGAGUGUUAUAGCUUCUGCUGAUAUUGCCUGUCUGGAUCGAGGGCUGCGUCUUUUGACUAGGAUGCUGGCGUAAUGAUCUAAUGCCGCCCGUCUUGA
This 558-nucleotide ribosomal RNA is filed under the name uncultured Wickerhamomyces. RNAcentral's name for it is "LSU rRNA". It matches the Rfam family "Eukaryotic large subunit ribosomal RNA", at positions 85 to 657 of the family's 3401-position model. Lineage: Eukaryota; Fungi; Ascomycota; Saccharomycetes; Phaffomycetales; Phaffomycetaceae. The record is from RNAcentral.